AUGAGGCGCCAUAGCCUCCCGUUCCUUUCACAGACCGCGCGAGGUCGACGAGAAAGCAGCAAACAAAGACUUGCAAAAAUGGCGGUGGCGACGGCUCGGUGGCUCGUCCUGUCCCUGCUCGUGUCCGCCGCGGCCGCGGCGCAUGACACGAAAUGGAAGGCCGGGGCUGCGGUGGGCGGCCAGGUCGUGGAGAAGGAGCGGCGGAGGGUGGUCGCUCAGAGCGAGGCCGGCACGGUUACGGCCGCGGACGUCGCCGACGCGGCGGGCACCGUGUACCGGCUGCAGUUCAUCACCAUGGACCCCGGCGCCCUGUUCCUGCCCGUGCAGCUGCACGCCGACGCAGUGUUCUACGUGCACAGCGGGCGGGGCAAGGUGACCUACAUCCAAGAAGGGGGCAGCGAAACAAGCUCCCUGGAAAUACAGCGAGGAGACGUGUACAACUUGGAGCAGGGCAGCAUCCUGUACAUCCAGAGCUACCCCAACGCCACCAGAGAGCGUCUCCGGAUCUACGCCAUCUUCACCAGCAACGCCAUCAACUGCGACGACCCAUCGCACCCCAAGUCAGAAGCAUACUCGAGCGUCAGCAAUCUACUGAGAGGAUUUGAAGUAAAGAUUCUUCGACAGGGAUUUGGGGUUUCCGCUGAAGUGGUGGAGGCAAUCCAAUCGGCCAAGAGCCCACAGUCGAUUAUAACGUACAAUCCAGACCAGGAGAAGGAAGAGAAGUCGAAUUGGACGGAAGAAAUCUUCAACGCGCUGUGGGGCGACGAGUCCCCACUGAACAAGAAGAAGAAGAAGGAUAAGCACAAGAAGAAGGACAAGAAGGACGACAAAUCCAAGAGCGAGACGUUUAACUUCUACUCCGGCAAGCCGGACGUCAAGAACUGCUUCGGAUGGAGCAAAACCAUGACCAACAAGGACCUGCAGAACCUCAAGGGGUCCAACAUUGGCAUGUUCAUGGUGAACCUGACCACGGGGUCGAUGAUGGGGCCUCACUGGAACCCGAAAGCCACGGAGAUCGCCAUCGUCACCCACGGAUCAGGGAUCGUGCAGGUGGUAUGCCCGAGCAUCCCGUCGGGCACCGGAGGCGGUCACGGCCACCACGACGAGGGUGGCCGCGGGGGCGGCGAUCACGGUCACCACGAUGAGGGCGGCCGCAGGAGAGGCGAUCACGGUCACCACGACGAGGGCGGCCGCGGGGGCGGCGAUCACGGUCACCACGACGAGGGCGGCCGCAGGGGCGGCGACCACGGGCAAGGAGGCGUAGAGUGCAAGAAUUCGGUGUUCAGAGUGAAGGAAGGCGACGUGUUCGUGGUGCCGAGGUUCCACCCGAUGGCGCAGCUGUCCUUCAACAACGGGUCGUUCGUGUUCGUCGGGUUCAGCACCCACAUGGGGGAGAACAACCCGCAGUUCCUGGCCGGGGAGCAUUCGGUGCUGCAGGUGAUCGGCAAGGAGAUAGUGGCGCUGGCUCUGGGGCAGAAGAACACGACCGCCGUGGAGAAGCUGCUGUCGGCGAAGAGCGGGUCGACCAUAAUGGCGUGCAUCUCGUGCGCGGAGGAGCUGGAGAGGAAGGCGGAGCAGGAGGAACAGGAGGGCGGGAAGGGGGAGCGGGAGCGGGAAGAGGAGGAGAGGGAAAGGAAGCAGAGAGAGGAGGAAGAGCGGAAGAAGCGAGAGGAGGAAGAGAGGGCGAGGAGGGAGAAGGAAAGGAAGCAGAGGGAGGAAGAGCAGAGGAAACGGGAGGAAGAAGAGAGGGAGAGGAGAGAGGAGAAGGAAAGGAAGCAGAGGGAGGAGGAAGAGAGGGCGAGGAGAGAGAAGGAAAGGAAGGAGAGGGAGGAGGAAGAAGCAGCGAGGAGGGAGCAAGAAGAGGAAGAAGAAAGGAGGAGAAGGGAGGAGGAAGAAGGUGGCGGAGGCCAAGGCGGAGGAGGAGGUGAUGAUCCAAGGGAGGAGGAAGAACGGCGGAGGAGGGAGGAGGAAGAAGGCGGCGGAGGAGGUGACGAUCCGAGGGAGGAAGAGGAAAGGCGGAGGAGGGAGGAGGAAGAGGGCGGCGGAGGCCAAGGAGGACGAGGAGACGAUCCGAGGGAGGAAGAGGAACGUAGGCGGAGGAGAGAGGAGGAGGAAGGCGGCCGUGGCGGAGACGACCCGUGGGAAGAGGAGGAAGGCGACUGGGGAGACACCACCAAGUACCGCGCGGCCAAGAACCUGAAGAAGCGCUACCGUGGUCGCAAGGGCGCCGUGUUCCAGAGCGCCUGA
This 2247-nucleotide ribosomal RNA is filed under the name Triticum aestivum (bread wheat). RNAcentral describes it as "partial small subunit ribosomal RNA". Lineage: Eukaryota; Viridiplantae; Streptophyta; Magnoliopsida; Poales; Poaceae. The record is from RNAcentral.